GUUGCUUCUUACUGGUGAAGCCUUGUUUGUAUAAUCCAAGUGCGAGAUUUUUCAUGUUUCGUAAGCAUAUAUUGAACAGCCAGUUUUAAAUAGCACUGCAUUUUCUUAUUUAUGCUCUGUCAAGUAACAUUA
This is a non-coding RNA of Jatropha curcas, 132 nucleotides long. The record is from Rfam. Lineage: Eukaryota; Viridiplantae; Streptophyta; Magnoliopsida; Malpighiales; Euphorbiaceae.